Molecule: ribosomal RNA, 524 nt
Filed under: Escherichia coli
Lineage: Bacteria; Pseudomonadati; Pseudomonadota; Gammaproteobacteria; Enterobacterales; Enterobacteriaceae
Description: bacterial SSU rRNA
Rfam family: Bacterial small subunit ribosomal RNA
Source: RNAcentral
CUGUAGAGAUACGGGGGUGCCUUCGGGAACUGUGAGACAGGUGCUGCAUGGCUGUCGUCAGCUCGUGUUGUGAAAUGUUGGGUUAAGUCCCGCAACGAGCGCAACCCUUAUCCUUUGUUGCCAGCGGUCCGGCCGGGAACUCAAAGGAGACUGCCAGUGAUAAACUGGAGGAAGGUGGGGAUGACGUCAAGUCAUCAUGGCCCUUACGACCAGGGCUACACACGUGCUACAAUGGCGCAUACAAAGAGAAGCGACCUCGCGAGAGCAAGCGGACCUCAUAAAGUGCGUCGUAGUCCGGAUUGGAGUCUGCAACUCGACUCCAUGAAGUCGGAAUCGCUAGUAAUCGUGGAUCAGAAUGCCACGGUGAAUACGUUCCCGGGCCUUGUACACACCGCCCGUCACACCAUGGGAGUGGGUUGCAAAAGAAGUAGGUAGCUUAACCUUCGGGAGGGCGCUUACCACUUUGUGAUUCAUGACUGGGGUGAAGUCGUAACAAGGUAACCGUAGGGGAACCUGCGGUUGGA